This 816-nucleotide long non-coding RNA is filed under the name Olea europaea (common olive). RNAcentral's name for it is "long non-coding RNA (OEUR_LNC005880)". The record is from RNAcentral. Lineage: Eukaryota; Viridiplantae; Streptophyta; Magnoliopsida; Lamiales; Oleaceae.
UCGUUUCUGGCAGACCUUGAUGAAUUAUCUGGUAAAGGGGCUCAUCCUGUGAGUAUGUGAUCUUUUUCUUCUGUUUGUAUAUGUUCAUUUGCCGAUAGAAUUCUUGUGUCGGUAAAACUUCAUUGGUUAUAGUUUAUUCGUGUUUUUUGUUGCAGUUCAAACUUCAUUCUGUUAUCCUGUUAUUUCUUAUGCAUAGGGUUUAUAGUGCUUUCUUUCCAGAAUGAGAAUAAUGGGGGAAGAUGAGGACUUGGGAGAAGAUGUAGAUGUGGACUUAACAGACAUAGAAGCACUUAAUUACAAUGAUCUGGAUGGUAUUUCCAAACUACUGAAUACACAUCAUUAAACUCAUAUUAUGCAGGUUUCUUUAUUUUGUGAAUUUACAUUUUCGGGUUCUGGAUCAAUUAAAAAGGGUGUGUUGCUGUCCUGAACAAAUUUCGAGCUAUCCAGAUCUUCCUUCAUAAUCACUAUGCCCUUUUUACAAUGUCACUUUGCUUGUAUGCUGCCUCAACAAAUAGCUUCUUCCAUUUUUUUUCUUCAAUAACAUAGAGCAUUAACUCGAUUUCCAUAUUAAUUAUAAUGUUACUUAUUUUGGUGAAUCUUUUGCAAGGGUAUAAGCAAUGAAGAGAAGUUGUAUUCCAAGAGAGCUGCUGUGACAUUCGACAGAAGAAAACCAUCGUGUAAAUUUUGUUCAUUUCAUGUUUCUAUUUUUUACUUUUCAUAGUUACUUAUAGUUCAUUAGAGACAGUAGCUUAUAGGCCAACAUUCUCUUUGUAAAUGAGUUAUAGGUUGCAAUUUCAUCAUACUAGCUCAGAGCCA